RNAcentral lists this ribosomal RNA (2926 nucleotides) under Escherichia coli. Its description in RNAcentral is "bacterial LSU rRNA". It matches the Rfam family "Bacterial large subunit ribosomal RNA". The record is from RNAcentral. Lineage: Bacteria; Pseudomonadati; Pseudomonadota; Gammaproteobacteria; Enterobacterales; Enterobacteriaceae.
GGGUUGUGAGGUUAAGCGACUAAGCGUACACGGUGGAUGCCCUGGCAGUCAGAGGCGAUGAAGGACGUGCUAAUCUGCGAUAAGCGUCGGUAAGGUGAUAUGAACCGUUAUAACCGGCGAUUUCCGAAUGGGGAAACCCAGUGUGUUUCGACACACUAUCAUUAACUGAAUCCAUAGGUUAAUGAGGCGAACCGGGGGAACUGAAACAUCUAAGUACCCCGAGGAAAAGAAAUCAACCGAGAUUCCCCCAGUAGCGGCGAGCGAACGGGGAGCAGCCCAGAGCCUGAAUCAGUGUGUGUGUUAGUGGAAGCGUCUGGAAAGGCGCGCGAUACAGGGUGACAGCCCCGUACACAAAAAUGCACAUGCUGUGAGCUCGAUGAGUAGGGCGGGACACGUGGUAUCCUGUCUGAAUAUGGGGGGACCAUCCUCCAAGGCUAAAUACUCCUGACUGACCGAUAGUGAACCAGUACCGUGAGGGAAAGGCGAAAAGAACCCCGGCGAGGGGAGUGAAAAAGAACCUGAAACCGUGUACGUACAAGCAGUGGGAGCACGCUUCGGCGUGUGACUGCGUACCUUUUGUAUAAUGGGUCAGCGACUUAUAUUCUGUAGCAAGGUUAACCGAAUAGGGGAGCCGAAGGGAAACCGAGUCUUAACUGGGCGUUAAGUUGCAGGGUAUAGACCCGAAACCCGGUGAUCUAGCCAUGGGCAGGUUGAAGGUUGGGUAACACUAACUGGAGGACCGAACCGACUAAUGUUGAAAAAUUAGCGGAUGACUUGUGGCUGGGGGUGAAAGGCCAAUCAAACCGGGAGAUAGCUGGUUCUCCCCGAAAGCUAUUUAGGUAGCGCCUCGUGAAUUCAUCUCCGGGGGUAGAGCACUGUUUCGGCAAGGGGGUCAUCCCGACUUACCAACCCGAUGCAAACUGCGAAUACCGGAGAAUGUUAUCACGGGAGACACACGGCGGGUGCUAACGUCCGUCGUGAAGAGGGAAACAACCCAGACCGCCAGCUAAGGUCCCAAAGUCAUGGUUAAGUGGGAAACGAUGUGGGAAGGCCCAGACAGCCAGGAUGUUGGCUUAGAAGCAGCCAUCAUUUAAAGAAAGCGUAAUAGCUCACUGGUCGAGUCGGCCUGCGCGGAAGAUGUAACGGGGCUAAACCAUGCACCGAAGCUGCGGCAGCGACACUAUGUGUUGUUGGGUAGGGGAGCGUUCUGUAAGCCUGCGAAGGUGUACUGUGAGGUAUGCUGGAGGUAUCAGAAGUGCGAAUGCUGACAUAAGUAACGAUAAAGCGGGUGAAAAGCCCGCUCGCCGGAAGACCAAGGGUUCCUGUCCAACGUUAAUCGGGGCAGGGUGAGUCGACCCCUAAGGCGAGGCCGAAAGGCGUAGUCGAUGGGAAACAGGUUAAUAUUCCUGUACUUGGUGUUACUGCGAAGGGGGGACGGAGAAGGCUAUGUUGGCCGGGCGACGGUUGUCCCGGUUUAAGCGUGUAGGCUGGUUUUCCAGGCAAAUCCGGAAAAUCAAGGCUGAGGCGUGAUGACGAGGCACUACGGUGCUGAAGCAACAAAUGCCCUGCUUCCAGGAAAAGCCUCUAAGCAUCAGGUAACAUUAAAUCGUACCCCAAACCGACACAGGUGGUCAGGUAGAGAAUACCAAGGCGCUUGAGAGAACUCGGGUGAAGGAACUAGGCAAAAUGGUGCCGUAACUUCGGGAGAAGGCACGCUGAUAUGUAGGUGAAGUCCCUCGCGGAUGGAGCUGAAAUCAGUCGAAGAUACCAGCUGGCUGCAACUGUUUAUUAAAAACACAGCACUGUGCAAACACGAAAGUGGACGUAUACGGUGUGACGCCUGCCCGGUGCCGGAAGGUUAAUUGAUGGGGUUAGCGGUAACGCGAAGCUCUUGAUCGAAGCCCCGGUAAACGGCGGCCGUAACUAUAACGGUCCUAAGGUAGCGAAAUUCCUUGUCGGGUAAGUUCCGACCUGCACGAAUGGCGUAAUGAUGGCCAGGCUGUCUCCACCCGAGACUCAGUGAAAUUGAACUCGCUGUGAAGAUGCAGUGUACCCGCGGCAAGACGGAAAGACCCCGUGAACCUUUACUAUAGCUUGACACUGAACAUUGAGCCUUGAUGUGUAGGAUAGGUGGGAGGCUUUGAAGUGUGGACGCCAGUCUGCAUGGAGCCGACCUUGAAAUACCACCCUUUAAUGUUUGAUGUUCUAACGUUGGCCCCUGAUCGGGGUUGCGGACAGUGUCUGGUGGGUAGUUUGACUGGGGCGGUCUCCUCCUAAAGAGUAACGGAGGAGCACGAAGGUUGGCUAAUCCUGGUCGGACAUCAGGAGGUUAGUGCAAUGGCAUAAGCCAGCUUGACUGCGAGCGUGACGGCGCGAGCAGGUGCGAAAGCAGGUCAUAGUGAUCCGGUGGUUCUGAAUGGAAGGGCCAUCGCUCAACGGAUAAAAGGUACUCCGGGGAUAACAGGCUGAUACCGCCCAAGAGUUCAUAUCGACGGCGGUGUUUGGCACCUCGAUGUCGGCUCAUCACAUCCUGGGGCUGAAGUAGGUCCCAAGGGUAUGGCUGUUCGCCAUUUAAAGUGGUACGCGAGCUGGGUUUAGAACGUCGUGAGACAGUUCGGUCCCUAUCUGCCGUGGGCGCUGGAGAACUGAGGGGGGCUGCUCCUAGUACGAGAGGACCGGAGUGGACGCAUCACUGGUGUUCGGGUUGUCAUGCCAAUGGCACUGCCCGGUAGCUAAAUGCGGAAGAGAUAAGUGCUGAAAGCAUCUAAGCACGAAACUUGCCCCGAGAUGAGUUCUCCCUGACUCCCUGAGAGUCCUGAAGGAACGUUGAAGACGACGACGUUGAUAGGCCGGGUGUGUAAGCGCAGCGAUGCGUUGAGCUAACCGGUACUAAUGAACCGUGAGGCUUAACCUUACAACGCCGAAG